AUUGAACGCUGGCGGCAGGCCUAACACAUGCAAGUCGAGCGGAUGAAGGGAGCUUGCUCCUGGAUUCAGCGGCGGACGGGUGAGUAAUGCCUAGGAAUCUGCCUGGUAGUGGGGGAUAACGUCCGGAAACGGGCGCUAAUACCGCAUACGUCCUGAGGGAGAAAGUGGGGGAUCUUCGGACCUCACGCUAUCAGAUGAGCCUAGGUCGGAUUAGCUAGUUGGUGGGGUAAAGGCCUACCAAGGCGACGACCCGUAACUGGUCUGAGAGGAUGAUCAGUCACACUGGAACUGAGACACGGUCCAGACUCCUACGGGAGGCAGCAGUGGGGAAUAUUGGACAAUGGGCGAAAGCCUGAUCCAGCCAUGCCGCGUGUGUGAAGAAGGUCUUCGGAUUGUAAAGCACUUUAAGUUGGGAGGAAGGGCAGUAAGUUAACACCUUGCUGUUUUGACGUUACCAACAGAAUAAGCACCGGCUAACUUCGUG
This 484-nucleotide ribosomal RNA is filed under the name uncultured bacterium. RNAcentral describes it as "partial 16S ribosomal RNA". It matches the Rfam family "Bacterial small subunit ribosomal RNA", at positions 30 to 507 of the family's 1533-position model. The record is from RNAcentral.